GGUUCUUGCAGAGAGGGCUGAUAAGGAACUGGCUUCGAAUGGAAAAUCGCCGGAAAAAUUGAAGGGUGCCGGAUCAUUCCUCAUGAAAGUGUUUGGCGUUCUUGCUGUAUGUUUAUUUAUUCCCCAUAUUAUGCUUAUCAACCCCCACAACAAAGCAAAUAUAAGGUUUGAUUCAGGUGUGCUUGCUGCAUAUAUUUAUGUCUGCUGUCUGCAAGAUGAUGAAACCUUGUUUUUGACAUAUUGAAAUGCUAAAUGAGCUACAAAAUGAUGGGUAGUUCUCCUCCUUGCCUUAACUCUCCUGCAUCACCAAGUAGGAUUUGAACUUGAAAACUUUUUGAUGGAGAUUAUUGCUGGGCUAUGACACUGAGUGGUUUCUUUGCAACAAAUCUUUAUUGUUGUCUUGGAAUAUUUGUCCUAAAAUGAUGCUUUUAUCAGCAUUUCUUUAUAAUUGGCCAAACUGCGUUCUAGUAAUACUUUCUAUGUUAUGUUCUUGUGCCUAGGAUCUCGUCAUAGGCCAUAGUGAAAUCUGAUUCAAAAGGUAAAACUUUUGCUUUACCUUGAUCCUUUCCUUGACUUGUUACUGAAAACGCGAUCUCGUUAAAAAGGAGCUCUAACUUUAUAUUUGUUGGAUAAGAGAGAGUCCAGAUCUCAAUUUAAUUGAAAAUAGUUUUGCAUAAUUUUAUUAAUUCAAGUGACCCUUUUUAUAAUUAUAAGAGACGUUUAUACAAAAUUUAUUGAAUCCUACUAGUAAUAGGAAUUCCAGACCAGUAGGAGUUAUACUAGAAAGGAAAUAUUAGUUAAAACAUAACUAGGAAGGGAAAAAUAAUAAAUAAAGUAUAACUAAUAAGGAUGCUGCCAGCGGAAGUCCAUCUAGGAACCCAAUGAAUGAUGCGUCCACAACUUUCUCCCACUGGACCAAAAAGGUUGUCACCUUUAAUCUUUCACAUAGUUUAAGAAAACAUAAUUAAUAUUAUGCCAAAUUACGUUCUCCAUUCCUUUUUUCCUUUUGUACACCUUACUAUUUUCUAUAAAAAUUGACAUUAGUUUCUUUAUUUAAAAUAGUUUUGCCUGGAAAAUAUAUAAAAUUUAUGAUUAAUCUAACAUUUUAUUGUAGAGUUAAUGAGGGGUAGAACUCGAAAGCCAAUUGAUGCAGAGCCAGUAGAGUAAUGGGGUGAGAAACAAUUUCUCAAUUGAUAAAGAAGCACAUUCUCUUGAUAAACAAAUACUCAAAUAAAGAAGACAAAAAUUCACAAAUUUUGUUCAUUGUCAACAAUAAUAUCUUAAUAAACUCUCUCAAGUAAAAUACCUAGACAUAUUUUAUCAACUAGUACUGUUGGUAACUAAUUAUGAAUAUUAAACCAAAACAAAUUAGGAAUACUAAACAAA
This 1386-nucleotide unclassified non-coding RNA is filed under the name Hevea brasiliensis (rubber tree). Lineage: Eukaryota; Viridiplantae; Streptophyta; Magnoliopsida; Malpighiales; Euphorbiaceae. The record is from RNAcentral.